This 253-nucleotide ribosomal RNA is filed under the name uncultured bacterium. Its description in RNAcentral is "partial 16S ribosomal RNA". It matches the Rfam family "Bacterial small subunit ribosomal RNA", at positions 524 to 776 of the family's 1533-position model. RNAcentral also lists the same sequence under 1 other name. The record is from RNAcentral.
UACGGAGGGAGCGAGCGUUGUUCGGAAUCACUGGGCGUAAAGCGUACGUAGGCGGUCUUGCAAGUCAGGAGUGAAAGCCCAGGGCUUAACCUUGGAAUUGCUUUUGAAACUGCAAGACUAGAGUCCCGGAGAGGUUGGCGGAAUUCCGAGUGUAGAGGUGAAAUUCGCAGAUAUUCGGAGGAACACCAGUGGCGAAAGCGGCCAACUGGACGGGAACUGACGCUGAGGUACGAAAGCGUGGGGAGCAAACAGG